UAUGAUCCAGAGUACCACGGGACACGUGAAACCCUGUGGGAAGCAGGAGGGACCACCCUCCAAGGCUAAAUACUACCUAGUGACCGAUAGCGUAUAGUACCGUGAGGGAAAGGUGAAAAGAACCCCGGGAGGGGAGGGAAAUAGAACCUGAAACCCUGCACUUACAAGCUGUGGAAGCACAUUUCUUGUGUGACCGCGUACUUUUUGUAGAACGGGCCAACGAGUUACGUUAAG
RNAcentral lists this ribosomal RNA (234 nucleotides) under Clostridioides difficile. RNAcentral describes it as "partial 23S ribosomal RNA". It matches the Rfam family "Bacterial large subunit ribosomal RNA", at positions 401 to 637 of the family's 2925-position model. The record is from RNAcentral. Lineage: Bacteria; Bacillati; Bacillota; Clostridia; Peptostreptococcales; Peptostreptococcaceae.